GGGCUAAUAGCUCAUUUGGUAGAGCGUUCGCUUUGCACCCAUGACUACUCCGGGGCUCUUUGUCCUGGAGAUGUUCGAGUCCAUCUGCGAAAGGUACAGGGUUCGACUCCCUGUUAGUCCA
Molecule: transfer RNA, 121 nt
Organism: Microdochium bolleyi
Lineage: Eukaryota; Fungi; Ascomycota; Sordariomycetes; Xylariales; Microdochiaceae
Rfam family: tRNA
About the family: Transfer RNA (tRNA) molecules are approximately 80 nucleotides in length. Their secondary structure includes four short double-helical elements and three loops (D, anti-codon, and T loops).
Source: Rfam